This 72-nucleotide transfer RNA is filed under the name Phrynosoma platyrhinos (Desert horned lizard). RNAcentral's name for it is "tRNA-OTHER". The record is from RNAcentral. Lineage: Eukaryota; Metazoa; Chordata; Lepidosauria; Squamata; Phrynosomatidae.
GGCAGCAUGGCAUAGUGGUUUGAGUGUUGGACUACAACUGUGGAGACCAGGGUUUGAUUCCCUGCUUAGCCA